ACCAAUAAGCUAUGCAUCAUGCUGAAGUUUUAUUGCUUGUGCAUAUAAUCUUACAGUCGUAAAACUUAUACUUGAAAUUGAGUUUGAGUUGAAAAAAAUAUAAAUAAAUAAAUAUUAGAAAAAGAAAGAAAAAAACAAAAUAAAAAAACAAGAGAAGCUUACCAUAAUGCAGUUGGCGGCCCAGCCCUUCGUGCAGCCCACUCCAUGAUCGAGUGCCAUCACAUGUAGUUUUUUUUACCAAUUCUUUAUUCUCCUUGCCGGAGCUUGCGUCACCCCUUUCAUCAUGAUGAGCUCAGCAUGCAAGCCACCAGAAGUCCUCACGAACGUGCUGCGUAUGGGUCUUGGUCGCUGCGUAUGGGUCUGAAUUCACCAAAAUCUUCUAGUUCACGGCUGUACCAGACUCAUACGCCAAAUACGGUGCAGCCCAGCUCCCUCACGUACACACGAUCUUUGGCCGAUGGCCCACUGGUCAGGCUCUUCUGACGCGCAUGCUCGUAUCACUCUCACCGGCUGGUGGGGUAUCGCAGUCAGGUGCGUCUCCUUCACCAUGCCGCAAGGACUGGACUCCGCCGCGCACGCCCGCGGGAUUCGGCAUGGUCUGUUGAGGAAGCACCCUGCUGGCUACUGGGAUCCACUAGUCAGAUCCUCUACCUCCCUUCUUAUCCGGUCAAGCAGGCGCGCAGAUCGUCCGUCUUAGUCGCUACCUGGUGCCACUCGCCGCGCGCAGGAAGGCUUCGGGAUGGGACCCACCGGUCGAGUCUAUCAUCUCCCUCUUCUUCUCCCGCUGUCUCGGUAAGGGACUCGGUGCCGCACUUUGGCGUCCGCAUGAGCCACGAUUUCCCUGCGGUCCCGUCGUUGCGGUUGUUGGGGGUCAACCGUAUCCUCGGGCAUCCGGUUGCAUGCCGCAGUUGCCGCCUUGGAGCUCGUUGUGGCCGUUGCGGCCAACCCCGCAAGCCCGUCCUUCCUCCGCUAUAAGCCUCUAAUCGCUUGUGACCGUGCCCCUACCUUCCUUUGAACCAGUCCCCGAGAGCUCCGUGUCCAUGGACUCGCCACCGCUAAACAGAGAGUAGGGGGAAAGCGCCGCCGCGAAGGCGUGGCCGGCCACAUCGAGCGGGACCUUGGUGACUGGGAGGGUGGCCGAGAUGGGUGCUGGUGAAGGGACUCGCGCACGCGGGGCGCCGUGGGAGUAGUGGAGAUUGUUCGCCGGAGGUGUGAAACUACGCCAAGUUACCCUCCGUCGUGAACCCGCUCGGCCAUCGCUUAACCCUCCGCGCGAGGUUUCAAGUCACCUGAAGUUCACCCUGGUAACUGGAUCUCAAGUGUCAGGCAAGUUGUGCCCUUGAUCACUUACUUUUCCCAGCCAUGUUCUUGUUAAUUAUAAUGAUCUGCAUAGGUUAAUUUUGAUGGGACCUAAUAGGUUACCCUAGUUUUGGCUAUCUUUAUACCUUGUUUACCACUGAAAUAUUUCUUUGGGUAGUACCUGCUAUUGCUUUAUGUGGAUUUGGGUAUGAAGAUACUUUAUUCAUAACUACAUCUUUAUUAUCUGUUUAUUAUUACUAUGCAUGUUAAGAUCAUUAUGUUAAUAGGAACAUGGAGCGACCACCCAGGAAAACAGUGCUACCACAAGGGUAUAAUGGGACGCCCUUGGCUGAUUAACUAGGAAAGCUAGUGGAUGUCUUCCUUACCCGAAAGGGGCAAGGGCAGUAGGGGAGUGGUCAGUGUAGGGAGGUCCUUGGGUUGAUUUUGCUACGAUGGCGGUCAGGCAAGAACCCUGCACUGGAGCUUCCUAUAAACUGUAGCGGGAUUUCUGAAGCUAGUGGAACUUUGUAAAGGCCUCGUAGUGUUACCCUGCCUCGCCUCCUCGGUAGAGGUGUAAGGGAUUGGCCAUAUCUUGGCAGAUGGGUAACAUGACUUGUGGGUAAAGAUGCGCAACCUCUGCAGAGUGUAAAACUAGUAUACUAGCCGUGCUCACGGUCAUGAGCGGCUCGGACCCUCACAUGAUUAAUUAUGGAACUUAAAUUUAAUUUGACAUUUGCAUCGCAUUUGGGAUUAUUUUACUAUUACUGUUCUUUAUUAUUAUUAAGGUUUGGUAUUUACUUACACUUAGUAAUUGCUAAUAAAAUUUUGACCAACUUAUAAAAGCAAUGCUCAGCCUCAGCCUUUAUUUCAUUGAUCAGCCUUACACUACAUGAACUCCCACCUUUGGUGAGUUCAUGCCACCUUAUUCCCCACGACUUGUUGAGCUAUGAACGUAUGUGAGCUCACUCUUGCUGUCUCACACACCCCCCAACAGGAGAAGAACAGGUGGUCGAAGAGGAGCCGCCUAACACUGAGGCAUUCGACUUGAUCUAGGUGGCGUUUCUCAGUCGACAUUGGCGCCGACGAUCCUUAGUUCGUUUUAUGGUUAUUCCUUUAUUUUGUAAUAAGUCUUCCGCUAUGUAAUAAUUACUCUGAUGUUAUGUGACAUUUAUCUCUAUACACUCUGUUAUUAUAUAUGUUGUCUUCUUGGCGCAUGUAUGAGAUGCACCCGGCUUUGUCCUUUAAAACCGGGUGUUACAGAAGUGGUAUCAGAGGAAAUGUUGACUGUAGGACGAUACCUAGAUAGAAAUGGACAAACUCUUACCUACUUAUCUUAUUCUGAUUCAUUCUAUACUUACCUUACCCUGAUUCUUUCUAUACUUAUCUCAUCUUGAUCCUAUCUCACCUUUUGUUGUUUCACUCUGAUUACUCUUAUCUCUUCUACUCCGAGACAAGAUGGAUUUCACACCUUGGAAUCCAACAACUAUGAUCUUUUUAAGAGAUAGGGAACCUAAAACAAAACAAUUUUCUCUAUUUAAAAAUGUUGGUUGAUUGUUCUGAUGAUCAAUGCAUGAUUUGCUUCUUUGAUUGAUUGAAAUAGUAUAGACGGACAUCUUAGCAUGUACCACCAUAAGGUAAUGUAUUAGCGUUAGUAUGUGACACGCUAAUCUACUUAGCUAAUAAAUCCCCCGCAGUAACAUUCCUCGUAAUUACUCGCCUUGUCUACAAAUCUUCCUUUCUUACCCUGUGUUUCUAACCCAGAUGGGCUACCCCUAUAGUGUUAGAAGAGAACACUAUAGACGUGAUCCUUGUUAUGUCAUGGUUAAGAAAGGCAAAGGUAGUUUAUACACUGUGCUAAAGGAACCAUUGAACUCACCAGUUCCAAAGGACAAAGAUUUGAAGGUUGAAUUGCAGUAACUACCGCCACCAGACUAGCGGCAUUCUUAGUAGAUGGGAAGUUUGUUGGAGUCAACAUCUGUGUGGUUAGAGAUUUUUUCGGAUAUCUUCCCAGAAGAGUUACCAGGGAUGCCACCAUAUAGAGAAGUUGAGUUUGUUAUUGAUCUCUUACCUGGAACUGCCCCUACUUUCAAACGCCCAUACAGGAUGUCUGUAGAAGAGUUAAAGGGACUGAAGAAGCAGUUAACGGAAUUACAAGAGACUGGGUACAUUCGUCCGAGUUCCUCACCUUGGGGAGCACCAGUUCUGUUUGUACAGAAGAAGGAUGGAUCACAACGGAUGUGUGUGGAUUAUAGAUCACUUAAUGAUGUUACUGUGAAGAACAAGUAUCUGUUACCCCGUAUUGAGGAUUUAUUCGAUCAAAUGAGAGGUGCAAAGGUAUUCUCAAAGAUUGAUCUCCGAUCGGGUUACCAUUAAAUGAAGAUUAGGCCAUCAGAUAUCCCCAAGACGGAUUUCUCGACUCGAUAUGGAUUAUAUGAGUUUACUGUUAUGUCAUUUGGAUUAACCAAUGCACCAGCUUAUUUCAUGAACUUGAUGAAUAGGGUGCUUAUGGAGUAUUUGGACAGAUUCGUCGUGGUGUUCAUCGAUGAUAUCCUUAUCUAUUCUAAGAGUGAAAGUGAUCAUGAACAACACCUGAGGUUGGUGCUACAAAAGCUGCGAGAUAAUCAACUCUAUGCAAAGUUCAGCAAGUGCGAGUUUUGGAUUGACAAGGUGCCAUUCCUUGGACAUAUUAUUUCUAAUGGAGGAAUAGCAGUGGAUCCUGCUAAAGUGAAGGAGAUUAUGGAGUGGAGAGUGCCCACUACAGUUACGGAGAUUCGGAGUUUCUUGGGACUUGUAGGAUACUAUCGAAGAUUUAUUGAAGGAUUUUCUAAGAUUCUUAAGCCUAUGACCUCGCUUCUGGAGAAGGGAAGAGAAUUUAAGUGUGAUGAGAAGUGCCAAGAUAGCUUUGAUCAAUUAAAGAAGAGAUUGAUGUCACCACCAGUAUUGAUUAUGCCAGAUCUGCAGAAGGGAUUUGACACUUACUGUGAUGCAUGUGGCCAAGGACUUGGAUGUGUGCUCAUGCAAGAAGGACAUGUGAUUGCCUAUGCAUCUCGUCAGUUGCAGAAACAAGAGUUAAACUACCCCACUCAUGACUUGGAAUUGGCUGCUGUUGUGCAUGCGCUUAAGAUUUGGAGACAUUAUAAUUGGAACCGAGUGUCAAGUAUACACGGAUCAUAAGAGUUUGAAGUAUAUAUUCACUCAGAAGGAUCUCAACCUUAGGCAACGCCGUUGGUUGGAGCUUAUUAAGGAUUGUGAUUUGGAGAUUCACUAUCGCCCAAGCAAGGCAAAUUUGGUUGCAGAUGCCUUGAGUCGAAAGGAGCAUGUUCAUUCAGCUGUUGUUGCCCAGCUACUUGAUGAGAUUAUUGAGGAUUUCAGGAGACUUAACCUGGGGAUAGUUGCUCACACUAAAGGAGUUAUUAAUGAUGUGGAACCUACCUUGGAGCAAGAAAUCCGCAAAGGACAAACUGGCGAUGCUAGGAUACAAGAGAUCAAGCAUCUAAUUACUAAAGGACGAGGUCCAGAAUUCACGGACGAUGAGCAAGGCACAAUAUGGUUCACGAAUCGGAUAUGUGUUCCGGAGAUUGAAAGCCUUCGUGAGACUAUUUUAAAGGAGGCCCAUGACUCGAAUUAUUCUAUUUAUCCUAGGAGUAUCAAGAUGUAUCAGGAUUUGAAGCAGAAGCACUGGUGGUAUGGAUAGAAGAGAGAUGUGGCUGCACAUGUGGCUAUGUGCGAUGUGUGUCAAAGAGUUAGGGCUAAACACCAGAGGCCAGCUGGAUUACUGCACCCACUUAAGAUUCCGAGUGGAAGUGGAAAGAGAUUGGUAUGGAUUUUAUUACUGGAUUGCCUCGCACCCCGAAAGGAUAUGAUUCGAUAUGGGUGAUUGUGGAUAGACUGACCAAAGUGGCUCGUUUCAUUCCGGUCAAGACUACUUAUAAGGUAUCUCAAUUGGUAGAAUUAUAUAUGGCUCGGAUUGUGUCUCUGCACGGUGUACCAAAGAAGAUCAUUUCAGAUAGAGGAUCACAGUUUACCUCCAGAUUUUGGAAAAGUUUUCAUGAGAAUAUGGAUACGAAGUUGAAUUUUAGUUCGGCCUACCAUCCUCAGACUAAUGUACAGACUGAAAGGACUAAUCAAGUAUUAGAAGACAUGUUGAGCGCUUGUGCCCUUCAACAUGGUAGUAGUUGGGACAAGAGUCUACCUUAUGCUGAGUUCUCAUAUAAUAAUAGUUAACAGGCCAGUCUGAAGAUGUCACCGUUCGAGACUCUGUAUGACAGGAAAUGCAGGACACCUCUAUAUUGGAUCAGACUAGAGGAAGACAGUUCUUUGGACCUGAACUUAUUCAAGAGGCAGAAGAACAAGUCUGUAUAAUCAGGGAGAACUUGAGGGUAGCUCAAACCAGGCAAAAGAUCUACGCUGGUAGUAGAAGAAAACCACUGGAGUUGAGGAAGGAGAUCAUGUGUACCUCAAGGUGUCACCACUUUGUGGAAUGAGGAGAUUCAAUGUUAAGGGCAAAUUGUCCCCUCGCUUUAUUGGAUCAUUCAGAGUUUUUAGGAGAGUUGGAGAGAUGGCCUAUCAACUCGAGCUACUUGAUAAUCUAUCUGAUGUGCAUAAUGUAUUUCAUGGGUCUCAACUUAACAAGUGUCUCCGUGUCCCUAAGGAACAGUUACCAAUGGAAGAGCUCAGUGUUCAGGGUGAUUUGACUUACACGGAGUAUCCGAUCGAGAUUCUUCAUACUUUGGCUAGAGUUACAAGAAAUAAGGUGAUAAAUAUGGGUAAAGUGCAAUGGAGCCAUCAUGGCGAAGAUGAAGCAACUUGAGAGAGAGAAAAAGAGCUUCACAUAGAUUUUCCCCAUCUUUUCCCUAGUUCUUCCUAAAUCUCGAGGACGAGAUUUGUUUUAAGGGGGGUAGGAUUUGUAAUACCCAAAUUGUAGAACAUAAGAAAGGAGUUGAUCUCGUUACUUGUUUGGCUAUCUACUCAUUAUAUCAUAAGAAUAGUCAUGUUUAAAGUAAAAACAAAUUAGAUAAAAGCACACCAAUAAGCUAUGCAUCAUGCUGAAGUUUUAUUGCUUGUGCAUAUAAUCUUACAGUCGUAAAACUUAUACUUGAAAUUGAGUUUGAGUUGAAAAAAAUAUAAAUAAAUAAAUAUUAGAAAAAGAAAGAAAAAACAAAAUAAAAAAACAAGAGAAGCUUACCAUAAUGCAGUUGGCGGCCCAGCCCUUCGUGCAGCCCACUCCAUGAUCGAGUGCCAUCACAUGUAGUUUUUUUUACCAAUUCUUUAUUCUCAUUGCCGGAGCUUGUGUCACCCCUUUCAUCAUGAUGAGCUCAGCAUGCAAGCCACCAGAAGUCCUCACGAACGUGCUGCGUAUGGGUCUUGGUCGCUGCGUAUGGGUCUGAAUUCACCAAAAUCUUCUAGUUCACGGCUGUACCAGACUCAUACGCCAAAUACGGUGUAGCCCAGCUCCCUCACGUACACACGAUCUUUGGCCGAUGGCCCACUGGUCAGGCUCUUCUGACGCGCAUGCUCGUAUCACUCUCACCGGCUGGUGGGGUAUCGCAGUCAGGUGCGUCUCCUUCACCAUGCCGCAAGGACUGGACUCCGCCGCGCACGCCCGCGGGAUUCGGCAUGGUCUGUUGAGGAAGCACCCAGCUGGCUACUGGGAUCCACUAGUCAGAUCCUCUACCUCCCUUCUUAUCCGGUCAAGUAGGCGCGCAGAUCGUCCGUCUUAGUCGCUACCUGGUGCCACUCGCCGCGCGCAGGAAGGCUUCGGGAUGGGACCCACCGGUCGAGUCUAUCAUCUCCCUCUUCUUCUCCCGCUGUCUCGGUAAGGGACUCGGUGCCGCACUUUGGCGUCCGCAUGAGCCACGAUUUCCCUGCGGUCCCGUCGUUGCGGUUGUUGGGGGUCAACCGUAUCCUCGGGCAUCCGGUUGCAUGCCUCAGUUGCCGCCUUGGAGCUCGUUGUGGCCGUUGCGGCCAACCCCGCAAGCCCGUCCUUCCUCCGCUAUAAGCCUCUAAUCGCUUGUGACCGUGCCCCUACCUUCCUUUGAACCAGUCCCCGAGAGCUCCGUGUCCAUGGACUCGCCACCGCUAAACAGAGAGUAGGGGGAAAGCGCCGCCGCGAAGGCGUGGCCGGCCACAUCGAGCGGGACCUUGGUGACUGGGAGGGUGGCCGAGAUGGGUGCUGGUGAAGGGACUCGCGCACGCGGGGCGCCGUGGGAGUAGUGGAGAUUGUUCGCCGGAGGUGUGAAACUACGCCAAGUUACCCUCCGUCGUGAACCCGCUCGGCCAUCGCUUAACCCUCCGCGCGAGGUUUCAAGUCACCUGAAGUUCACCCUGGUAACUGGAUCUCAAGUGCCAGGCAAGUUGUGCCCUUGAUCACUUACUUUUCCCAGCCAUGUUCUUGUUAAUUAUAAUGAUCUGCAUAGGUUAAUUUUGAUGGGACCUAAUAGGUUACCCUAGUUUUGGCUAUCUUUAUACCUUGUUUACCACUGAAAUAUUUCUUUGGGUAGUACCUGCUAUUGCUUUAUGUGGAUUUGGGUAUGAAGAUACUUUAUUCAUAACUACAUCUUUAUUAUCUGUUUAUUAUUACUAUGCAUGUUAAGAUCAUUAUGUUAAUGGGAACAUGGAGCGACCACCCGGGAAAACAGUGCUACCACAAGGGUAUAAUGGGACGCCCUUGGCUGAUUAACUAGGAAAGCUAGUGGAUAUCUUCCUUACCCGAAAGGGGCAAGGGCAGUAGGGGAGUGGUCAGUGUAGGGAGGUCCUUGGGUUGAUUUUGCUGCGAUGGCGGUCAGGCAAGAACCCUGCACUGGAGCUUCCUAUAAACUGUAGCGGGAUUUCUGAAGCUAGUAGAACUUUGUAAAGGCCUCGUAGUGUUACCCUGCCUCGCCUCCUCGGUAGAGGUGUAAGGGAUUGGCCAUCUCUUGGCAGAUGGGUAACAUGACUUGUGGGUAAAGAUGUGCGACCUCUGCAGAGUGUAAAACUAGUAUACUAGCCGUGCUCACGGUCAUGAGCGGCUCGGACCCUCACAUGAUUAAUUAUGGAACUUAAAUUUAAUUUGACAUUUGCAUCGCAUUUGGGAUUAUUUUACUAUUACUGUUCUUUAUUAUUAUUAAGGUUUGGUAUUUACUUACACUUAGUAAUUGCUAAUAAAAUUUUGACCAACUUAUAAAAGCAAUGCUCAGCCUCAGUCUUUAUUUCAUUGAUCAACCUUACACUACAUGAACUCCCACCUUUGGUGAGUUCAUGCCACCUUAUUCCCCACGACUUGUUGAGCUAUGAACGUAUGUGAGCUCACUCUUGCUGUCUCACACACCCCCCCACAGGAGAAGAACAGGUGGUCGAAGAGGAGCCGCCUAACACUGAGGCAUUCGACUUGAUCUAGGUGGCGUUUCUCAGUCGACAUUGGCGCCGACGAUCCUUAGUUCGUUUUAUGGUUAUUCCUUUAUUUUGUAAUAAGUCUUCCGCUAUGUAAUAAUUACUCUGAUGUUAUGUGACAUUUAUCUCUAUACA
Long non-coding RNA from Zea mays, 8802 nucleotides. RefSeq lists it as uncharacterized. Lineage: Eukaryota; Viridiplantae; Streptophyta; Magnoliopsida; Poales; Poaceae. The record is from RefSeq and is a predicted model, not a curated record. The transcript has 3 exons.